This 301-nucleotide ribosomal RNA is filed under the name uncultured bacterium. RNAcentral describes it as "partial 16S ribosomal RNA". It matches the Rfam family "Bacterial small subunit ribosomal RNA", at positions 510 to 808 of the family's 1533-position model. The record is from RNAcentral.
CACAGCCGCGGGAAAACAGAGGGUGCGAGCGUUAAUCGGAUUUACUGGGCGUAAAGCGUGCGUAGGCGGCUUCUUAAGUCGGAUGUGAAAUCCCUGAGCUUAACUUAGGAAUUGCAUUCGAUACUGGGAAGCUAGAGUAUGGGAGAGGAUGGUAGAAUUCCAGGUGUAGCGGUGAAAUGCGUAGAGAUCUGGAGGAAUACCGAUUGCGAAGGCAGCCAUCUGGCCUAAUACUGACGCUGAGGUACGAAAGCAUGGGGAGCAAACAGGAUUAGAUACCCCCGUAGUCCCUGUCUCUUAUACA